AUACGGAGGAUGCGAGCGUUAUCCGGAUUUAUUGGGUUUAAAGGGUGCGUAGGCGGACGAUUAAGUCAGCUGUGAAAUGCCCGCGCUUAACGCGGGAAGUGCAGUUGAUACUGGUUGUCUGGAGUGCCGUUGCCGUGGGGGGAAUGUGUAGUGUAGCGGUGAAAUGCAUAGAUAUUACACAGAACGCCGAUUGUGAAGACACCUCACGAAGCGGUAACUGACGCUGAGGCACGAAAGCGUGGGGAUCGAACAGGAUUAGAUACCCUGGUAGUCCGCACAGUAAACGAUGAAUACUUGUUUUCGGCGAUAUAAUGUCGGAGGCAAAGCGAAAGCGAUAAGUAUUCCACCUGGGGAGUACGCCGGCAACGGUGAAACUCAAAGGAAUUGACGG
This 391-nucleotide ribosomal RNA is filed under the name uncultured bacterium. RNAcentral's name for it is "partial 16S ribosomal RNA". It matches the Rfam family "Bacterial small subunit ribosomal RNA", at positions 523 to 916 of the family's 1533-position model. The record is from RNAcentral.